GGCGUCUAUUGUGUGCACUGAGUGGUGGGUGAGUCUUGGAUGUAGAAAAUUUCACUUUGAAGUGGUGCUGUGUAAUGCUGUGUAUUGCAGUGGGAUUGCGGUUGUCUUGUCUGACGUACCCCCGCCUCCAGUCACUCGCUCUUGAGACGACGAAGAGGAAGAAAUGGUCCUAGAGUAAGACCUGUACAUGAUUAUGCUAGCCUGAGGCGGAGGAGAUCCGCCGGCCCGAGGUCUCGACCAAAGGGCGCCCCGGUCCAGUUUUCGAUCGACCAACGGGUCUCGAGGAAAGGGCAGCGCUCGACCCGGUGAGCCGGCGUGACGAUUCUCGCCCCCCCUAUAGACCAACGAGCUCGCCGAGAGGGUUUUGGCCCCCGGCGCCACCUAGGAAAACCACCGUCCAGUUGACGCACCGCACAGCCAGCCACCGUAAGUCCGCCCCCCGGUUAAGUGAAAUAUAACCUGUUUAACUGCUUAAUCGACAGGAAAGAGGAGUGUGUCGAGAAGAUCUGUGGAGAGAAAGAGACAGUGUGAAUGUCGAGAUAACAAACUGUGGAGAGAGCCAUACCUACCCAAAGCUGUAGUCAGCAACGAGGUGAGAGAAAUCAUUGGAACCCGAUUCACUGUGCCCUUGUGUCCUAGCAGUCAUCUGUGGAGAGAGAGAGAGACAGCGUGAAUGUCGAGAUAACAAACUGUGGAGAGAGCCAUACCUACCCAAAGCUGUAGUCAGCAACGAGGUGAGAGAAAUCAUUGGAACCUGAUUCACUGUGCCCUUGUGUCCUAGCAGUCACCUGUGGAGAGAGAGAGACAGUGUGAAUGUCGAGAUAACAAACUGUGGAGAGAACCA
Non-coding RNA from Misgurnus anguillicaudatus (oriental weatherfish), 844 nucleotides. NCBI's taxonomy places the organism in Eukaryota, Metazoa, Chordata, Actinopteri, Cypriniformes, Cobitidae. The record is from RefSeq and is a predicted model, not a curated record.